GAACGCUGGCGGCGUGCCUAAUACAUGCAAGUAGAACGCUGAAGAGAGGAGCUUGCUCUUCUUGGAUGAGUUGCGAACGGGUGAGUAACGCGUAGGUAACCUGCCUUGUAGCGGGGGAUAACUAUUAGAAACGAUAGCUAAUACCGCAUAACAAUGGGUGACACAUGUCAUUUAUUUGAAAGGGGCAAUUGCUCCACUACAAGAUGGACCUGCGUUGUAUUAGCUAGUAGGUGAGGUAACGGCUCACCUAGGCGACGAUACAUAGCGGACCUGAGAGGGUGAUCGGCCACACUGGGACUGAGACACGGCCCAGACUCCUACGGGAGGCAGCAGUAGGGAAUCUUCGGCAAUGGGGGCAACCCUGACCGAGCAACGCCGCGUGAGUGAAGAAGGUUUUCGGAUCGUAAAGCUCUGUUGUAAGUCAAGAACGAGUGUGAGAGUGGAAAGUUCACACUGUGACGGUAGCUUACCAGAAAGGGACGGCUAACUACGUGCCAGCAGCCGCGGUAAUACGUAGGUCCCGAGCGUUGUCCGGAUUUAUUGGGCGUAAAGCGAGCGCAGGCGGUUUGAUAAGUCUGAAGUUAAAGGCUGUGGCUCAACCAUAGUUCGCUUUGGAAACUGUCAAACUUGAGUGCAGAAGGGGAGAGUGGAAUUCCAUGUGUAGCGGUGAAAUGCGUAGAUAUAUGGAGGAACACCGGUGGCGAAAGCGGCUCUCUGGUCUGUAACUGACGCUGAGGCUCGAAAGCGUGGGGAGCGAACAGGAUUAGAUACCCUGGUAGUCCACGCCGUAAACGAUGAGUGCUAGGUGUUGGAUCCUUUCCGGGAUUCAGUGCCGCAGCUAACG
This 844-nucleotide ribosomal RNA is filed under the name uncultured Streptococcus sp. Its description in RNAcentral is "bacterial SSU rRNA". It matches the Rfam family "Bacterial small subunit ribosomal RNA", at positions 31 to 857 of the family's 1533-position model. The record is from RNAcentral. Lineage: Bacteria; Bacillati; Bacillota; Bacilli; Lactobacillales; Streptococcaceae.